AAGCAGGGGACCUUCGGGCCUUGUGCUCUUGGAGCGGCCGAUAUCUGAUUAGCUAGUUGGUGAGGUAAAGGCUCACCAAGGCGACGAUCAGUAGCUGGUCUGAGAGGACGACCAGCCACACUGGAACUGAGACACGGUCCAGACUCCUACGGGAGGCAGCAGUGGGGAAUUUUGGACAAUGGGCGCAAGCCUGAUCCAGCAAUGCCGCGUGAGUGAAGAAGGCCUUCGGGUUGUAAAGCUCUUUUGUCAGGGAAGAAACGGUAGAGGCUAAUAUCCUUUGCUAAUGACGGUACCUGAAGAAUAAGCACCGGCUAACUACGUGCCAGCAGCCGCGGUAAUACGUAGGGUGCAAGCGUUAAUCGGAAUUACUGGGCGUAAAGCGUGCGCAGGCGGUUUUGUAAGUCUGUCGUGAAAUCCCCGGGCUCAACCUGGGAAUUGCGAUGGAGACUGCAAGGCUAGAAUCUGGCAGAGGGGGGUAGAAUUCCACGUGUAGCAGUGAAAUGCGUAGAGAUGUGNGAAGGANNACNACCGAUGGCGAAGGCAGCCCCCUGGGUCAAGAUUGACGCUCAUGCACGAAAGCGUGGGGAGCAAACAGGAUUAGAUACCCUGGUAGUCCACGCCCUAAACGAUGUCUACUAGUUGUCGGGUUUUAAUUAACUUGGUAACGCAGCUAACGCGUGAAGUAGACCGCCUGGGGAGUACGGUCGCAAUGAUUAAAACUCAAAGGAAUUGACGGGGACCCGCACAAGCGGUGGAUGAUGUGGAUUAAUUCGAUGCAACGCGAAAAACCUUACCUACCCUUGACAUGUCAGGAAGGCCGAAGAGAUUUGGUUGUGCCCGAAAGGGAACCUGAACACAGGUGCUGCAUGGCCGUCGUCAGCUCGUGUCGUGAGAUGUUGGGUUAAGUCCCGCAACGAGCGCAACCCUUGUCAUUAGUUGCUACGCAAGAGCACUCUAAUGAGACUGCCGGUGACAAACCGGAGGAAGGUGGGGAUGACGUCAAGUCCUCAUGGCCCUUAUGGGUAGGGCUUCACACGUCAUACAAUGGUACAUACAGAGGGCCGCCAACCCGCGAGGGGGAGCUAAUCCCAGAAAG
RNAcentral lists this ribosomal RNA (1096 nucleotides) under uncultured bacterium. RNAcentral describes it as "bacterial SSU rRNA". It matches the Rfam family "Bacterial small subunit ribosomal RNA", at positions 202 to 1281 of the family's 1533-position model. The record is from RNAcentral.